AUUGAACGCUGGCGGCAGGCCUAACACAUGCAAGUCGAGCGGAUGAAGGGAGCUUGCUCCUGGAUUCAGCGGCGGACGGGUGAGUAAUGCCUAGGAAUCUGCCUGGUAGUGGGGGAUAACGUCCGGAAACGGGCGCUAAUACCGCAUACGUCCUGAGGGAGAAAGUGGGGGAUCUUCGGACCUCACGCUAUCAGAUGAGCCUAGGUCGGAUUAGCUAGUUGGUGGGGUAAAGGCCUACCAAGGCGACGAUCCGUAACUGGUCUGAGAGGAUGAUCAGUCACACUGGAACUGAGACACGGUCCAGACUCCUACGGGAGGCAGCAGUGGGGAAUAUUGGACAAUGGGCGAAAGCCUGAUCCAGCCAUGCCGCGUGUGUGAAGAAGGUCUUCGGAUUGUAAAGCACCUUAAGUUGGGAGGAAGGGCAGUAAGUUAAUACCUUGCUGUUUUGACGUUACCAACAGAAUAAGCGCCGGCUAACUUCGUG
This 484-nucleotide ribosomal RNA is filed under the name uncultured bacterium. Its description in RNAcentral is "partial 16S ribosomal RNA". It matches the Rfam family "Bacterial small subunit ribosomal RNA", at positions 30 to 507 of the family's 1533-position model. The record is from RNAcentral.